This 926-nucleotide ribosomal RNA is filed under the name Boletaceae sp. RNAcentral's name for it is "eukaryotic LSU rRNA". The stretch from base 220 to 374 matches the Rfam family "5.8S ribosomal RNA". Lineage: Eukaryota; Fungi; Basidiomycota; Agaricomycetes; Boletales; Boletaceae. The record is from RNAcentral.
UUAGAGGAAGUAAAAGUCGUAACAAGGUUUCCGUAGGUGAACCUGCGGAAGGAUCAUUAUCGAAGCAGGGGACUGUCGCUGGUCUUUUACUAGACAUGUGCACGUUCUCUUUCUCAUACACACUUGUGCACCAUCUGUAGGCCCUUGAAAAAGAGGAUCUACGUAUUUUCAUCUUCACACCCAUCGCAUGUUAAUAGAAUGAAAUACAUAUCAUAAUACAACUUUCAGCAAUGGAUCUCUUGGCUCUCGCAUCGAUGACGAACGCAGCGAAUUGCGAUAAGUAAUGUGAAUUGCAGAUUUUCAGUGAAUCAUCGAAUCUUUGAACGCACCUUGCGCUCCUUGGUAUUCCGAGGAGCAUGCCUGUUUGAGUGUCAUUUUUAUUCUCAACCAUGCUUCAUUCUCUUGAUGCAUGGAUUGGACUUGGGAGUUGCUGGCGUCGCAAGACUAGUCGGCUCUCCUCAAAUGCAUUAGCAAAGUGGGCAUAUGUGGCCUUUCGAUGUGAUAAUGAUCGUCGUGGGGCAGGCAUGACAGCGUCCAUGUUGCUUCUAGUUCGAGAUUUGGAUUUGGAUCUUGCUAGUUACUAGUCGGUCGAGAGGCCAGCGAACACAACAGGGUCUAGGUCUUUCUCUCACUGAGGUUCUGACUUGGAUUUGGAUUUUGCUUAGCUACUAGUCGGUCGAGAGGCUGGUGAACGCGGCAAAUGAAGAUGAAGAUGAAAGAACGAUUCAAUGACUUGACCUCAAAUCAGGUAGGACUACCCGCUGAACUUAAGCAUAUCAAUAAGCGGAGGAAAAGAAACUAACAAGGAUUCCCCUAGUAACUGCGAGUGAAGCGGGAAGAGCUCAAAUUUUGAAUCUGGCAGUCCUUGUGGCCGUCCGAGUUGUAAUCUAGAGAAGCGUUUUCCGCGCUGGACCGUGUACAAGUCU